This 113-nucleotide small RNA is filed under the name Pantoea agglomerans. Its description in RNAcentral is "RtT sRNA". It matches the Rfam family "RtT RNA". Rfam says of the family: This family represents a bacterial cis-regulatory element known as RtT RNA. The exact function of RtT is unknown although it is thought that it may be involved in changing the cellular response in relation to amino acid starvation. Lineage: Bacteria; Pseudomonadati; Pseudomonadota; Gammaproteobacteria; Enterobacterales; Erwiniaceae. The record is from RNAcentral.
AAACGGUGUAAACCGUGAAGGAUGAGAACCGUAAAGGUUCGAGUCGAGCGAAAGCGAGACAACGUUGCUUCAGCAACGGCCCGUAGGGCGAAGUCAUCCUGCGCGACCCACCA